This 496-nucleotide ribosomal RNA is filed under the name uncultured bacterium. Its description in RNAcentral is "partial 16S ribosomal RNA". It matches the Rfam family "Bacterial small subunit ribosomal RNA", at positions 29 to 507 of the family's 1533-position model. The record is from RNAcentral.
AUGAACGCUGGCGGCGUGCCUAAUACAUGCCCGUCGAGCGAACAGACGAGGAGCAUGCUCCUCUGACGUUAGCGGCGGACGGGUGAGUAACACGUGGAUAACCUACCUAUAAGACUGGGAUAACUUCGGGAAACCGGAGCUAAUACCGGAUAAUAUAUUGAACCGCAUGGUUCAAUAGUGAAAGACGGUUUUGCUGUCACUUAUAGAUGGAUCCGCGCCGCAUUAGCUAGUUGGUAAGGUAACGGCUUACCAAGGCGACGAUGCGUAGCCGACCUGAGAGGGUGAUCGGCCACACUGGAACUGAGACACGGUCCAGACUCCUACGGGAGGCAGCAGUAGGGAAUCUUCCGCAAUGGGCGAAAGCCUGACGGAGCAACGCCGCGUGAGUGAUGAAGGUCUUCGGAUCGUAAAACUCUGUUAUUAGGGAAGAACAAAUGUGUAAGUAACUAUGCACGUCUUGACGGUACCUAAUCAGAAAGCCACGGCUAACUACGUG